AUGAAAAUGAUGCUAAGGAAUUGCCCAACUCAUGGGUUAAAUCUAUGGAUGAUCAUACAAAUUUUUUCUACAUGGUUGAAUUUUGUUUCUCGUAAUCUUUUAGAUUCCACCGUGGGUGGGACUUUUAUGGAAAUUACUUUGGGUGAAGCCACCAAAUUGCUUGAUAAUAUCAUGGCAAAUUAUUCGCAAUGGCAUACCGAAAGAGCUCCUACUAGUAAAAAGGUUAAUUUGGUUGAAGAAAUUUCUUCUUUGAGUGAAAAAGUUGAUGCUCUGAUGAAAUUGGUUGCUAGUAAAAGUGAUCCUAUUGAUUUUAAUGAUAUGCCUUUGUCUAAUUUGAUUGAACAAUAUAGUGAUGCCAUAUAUGUGAAUUUUAUCUCUCAAAAUAAUUUCAAUAACAAUGCCUAUGGAGGUAAUUUUAAUCCUAGGCCUUUUCCUAGUAAUUCCUCUAAUAAUUAUGGUAAUUCCUAUGGAAAUCAAUCAUAUAAUAAUAAUUGGAACACCUUUGAUCUUGAGAAUAAUAUUAAAGAAUUUAUCAAUACGCAAAAAGUUUUCAACACUUCCAUAUAA
Molecule: ribosomal RNA, 567 nt
Filed under: Triticum aestivum (bread wheat)
Lineage: Eukaryota; Viridiplantae; Streptophyta; Magnoliopsida; Poales; Poaceae
Description: partial small subunit ribosomal RNA
Source: RNAcentral